Long non-coding RNA from Scatophagus argus, 2001 nucleotides. RefSeq lists it as uncharacterized. The transcript has 16 exons. Lineage: Eukaryota; Metazoa; Chordata; Actinopteri; Scatophagidae. The record is from RefSeq and is a predicted model, not a curated record.
UCUCAGAGGCGGGAAGUGUUGUGAUGACAGGAUUGCCAGAAUAGCAAUAUGUCAAUAUGCUUUUCAACAGCUAAUGGGGACCGAUGACCUGCCAAAUGGACCAGGCAAGCGUGACGCUAAGGAGACCACUGUGACGCAACGAGUUCCAUCAAGCAUUCUCCAAAGCCCUUGUCCUGGACCAAAGCAGCAUUUUUGUUCUGGCUGAUGCCUUCGUUCAAAGGUUCAGAGACCAGCUUGAGCUUUGCCAUGUGGGAUGUCAUUUUCUCUUGGCCAAGUUACUGCCAGUCGCAGCUUGCCCAUUGGGAGGAAGGUCAGCUGAGGGUCCUGCCGCGCUUCGGUGGGCGCCGGGGACCAGAGUUGUUUCCUCACAUAUGGGGCCCAGUGACCUUCUUGGCCCGGUGGGUGUCAGUACUAUUAUUAGACUGAAUUAAAGCCAUGAAGGUGAAGACCCAACCCUCCAGGGACUCAAGCUCACACUGUCCCUCUCCCGCUCAUCUGACACAUCACUAAGGGUCUUGGGAAAACGGGUCUGCUGGCAGCAUGUAUUUUUGUCCUAGACUUUUGUGUGUAUUGGAGGGAGAGAUCUUCAGGUUCGAGAUAAGAGGUCCACUGUCCACUGGUUAGGGCCUUUAGACAUUGUUUGGAAUAGGAGAGAACCAUGAAGGUGCUACAGAAGCUUCAUUUCGUUCCUGAGACAUACAACAUGGAACAUCCUCCGGCAGUCAGAGAGAAAGUGCUGCUACUGCUAACAGUGAAGGUAUCACAAAGGAUGCUGUGGAAGACUGCAUGCACACUGAUACCCCAGCGCUUCACUCAACCCCUGUUUAUAAUUACAGCUCCAGGAGCAGUGGGUGAGCGUCACAGAGACAGUGGACUGCGUGUCUUUAGGGUCCUUGUAGAACUGCAACAGAGAGUCCCCCAGACCCCAGCAAAGAGCAAGAUGAGGAGAUGAAAGUCUGCAGUAGCCACAGGGGUGACAGCCAGUGCUGGAUACUCGCAGGUAUAACUGAAGACCUAAGAUCCUGGCUGGGAAAAGACGUGGGAGAUCAACAAGCACCCCUCUUUUUCAUCCACUGGUGCAUGUAUACACAGUUUCCAUUUACAAAAUCUCUUAUGAAAUCAGUGAGUGUUUUGACGCAGUGUGCACUGAUGUCUGAACAAGUACACACAGAAAAGGCCAGCAGUGUUAUCCAGUUUGUCAUGCUGGACUGCUCACCACUCAUUUCAUCCUUGGUGCAGCACUGCAAUGACUGGCAGCACAAGUUCACUCAGCUGCCAACACCUGCCUCAAAGAACUUAGAAGACAUUGCCAACAGGAGCAGGACAUAUGAAGUGCUGAAUCAGGAGUAAGCCUGGCUCUCCGUCAGAUCUUGAUUGACAGCUGCCUCAUACACAUAGGAAAGUUCAAACAGAGUGUCAUCCUCUCCUCUUCAAAAAGAAGAUCCAGACCACAGGACCUGGAUGCAGAUCUGCUGCGAGCUGCGUCCCUGCUCUUUUGACCAAACCAGUGCUGAAUUACAUCAUCUCAUCUGGGACAAGCUUGCUGACAGGAUCUGUGACAUCUCUGGAGUGCUUCAUAGAACAGCAACUCCAGCUGCUGGUACAAGUGAGGAGGAAGGAAGGAUGAUGAGAAAUAAGAAAGAGGGGCAAUGGAAGUAUCCUCUGAACUCCAUGACAAUGAGUCUGGGAAAGCUGUAUGAAGAAAACGACCUCUCCACCAGCGAGUGAACUGAGUGUUUUCUUCCCUCGUGAGACUAGUGUGCACAGGUACCGAAAUACACAGGCACAAUUCACACCACAGUACAUGUAUUCAGACUGAAACACACUAGUCACUUGCUGGUGACAAGACCCAACGUGCAUUUAUAAAACCGACCCAAGCUUCUAUUUCGUACUUUGUUUUCCUAAAGCAGUGAGUAAUAGUAGUAGUAGUAGUAGAAGAGAGUGAAAGCAGGCAGGCACCUUAUGCUCACACACAUCUACAUGUGGUUAUUACUGCACACA